This 500-nucleotide ribosomal RNA is filed under the name uncultured bacterium. RNAcentral describes it as "partial 16S ribosomal RNA". It matches the Rfam family "Bacterial small subunit ribosomal RNA", at positions 30 to 523 of the family's 1533-position model. The record is from RNAcentral.
AUUGAACGCUGGCGGCAUGCCUUACACAUGCAAGUCGAACGGCAGCACGGGAGCAAUCCUGGUGGCGAGUGGCGAACGGGUGAGUAAUACAUCGGAACGUGCCCAGUCGUGGGGGAUAACGUAGCGAAAGCUACGCUAAUACCGCAUACGAUCUGUGGAUGAAAGCGGGGGACCGUAAGGCCUCGCGCGAUUGGAGCGGCCGAUGUCAGAUUAGGUAGUUGGUGGGGUAAAGGCCUACCAAGCCGACGAUCUGUAGCUGGUCUGAGAGGACGACCAGCCACACUGGGACUGAGACACGGCCCAGACUCCUACGGGAGGCAGCAGUGGGGAAUUUUGGACAAUGGGCGCAAGCCUGAUCCAGCAAUGCCGCGUGCAGGAUGAAGGCCUUCGGGUUGUAAACUGCUUUUGUACGGAACGAAACGGCCUUUUCUAAUACAGAGGGCUAAUGACGGUACCGUAAGAAUAAGCACCGGCUAACUACGUGCCAGCCGCCGCGGUAA